CUACACAUGUACUAAAAUUGUACUAAAAUUGGAAUGAUACAGAGAAGAUGAAGCGUGGCCCCUGCGCAAAGGAUGGCACGCAACAUUCGUGAAGCGUUGUUGUUUUUG
Petromyzon marinus (sea lamprey) is the source of this 108-nucleotide small nuclear RNA. NCBI's taxonomy places the organism in Eukaryota, Metazoa, Chordata, Hyperoartia, Petromyzontiformes, Petromyzontidae. The record is from Ensembl.